UUUGAGACCGGCGCACGGGUGCGUAACGCGUAUGCAAUCUACCUUUCACAGAGGGAUAGCCCAGAGAAAUUUGGAUUAAUACCUCAUAGUAUAGCAGUUUCGCAUGAAACCACUAUUAAAGUCACAACGGUGAAAGAUGAGCAUGCGUCCCAUUAGCUAGUUGGUAAGGUAACGGCUUACCAAGGCAACGAUGGGUAGGGGUCCUGAGAGGGAGAUCCCCCACACUGGUACUGAGACACGGACCAGACUCCUACGGGAGGCAGCAGUGAGGAAUAUUGGACAAUGGGCGCAAGCCUGAUCCAGCCAUGCCGCGUGCAGGAUGACGGUCCUAUGGAUUGUAAACUGCUUUUGUACAGGAAGAAACACCUCUACGUGUAGAGACUUGACGGUACUGUAAGAAUAAGGAUCGGCUAACUCCGUGCCAGCAGCCGCGGUAAUACGGAGGAUCCAAGCGUUAUCCGGAAUCAUUGGGUUUAAAGGGUCCGUAGGCGGUUUAGUAAGUCAGUGGUGAAAGCCCAUCGCUCAACGGUGGAACGGCCAUUGAUACUGCUAGACUUGAAUUAUUAGGAAGUAACUAGAAUAUGUAGUGUAGCGGUGAAAUGCUUAGAGAUUACAUGGAAUACCAAUUGCGAAGGCAGGUUACUACUAAUUGAUUGACGCUGAUGGACGAAAGCGUGGGUAGCGAACAGGAUUAGAUACCCUGGUAGUCCACGCCGUAAACGAUGGAUACUAGCUGUUGGGCGCAAGUUCAGUGGCUAAGCGAAAGUGAUAAGUAUCCCACCUGGGGAGUACGUUCGCAAGAAUGAAACUCAAAGGAAUUGACGGGGGCCCGC
Molecule: ribosomal RNA, 833 nt
Filed under: uncultured bacterium
Lineage: Bacteria
Description: bacterial SSU rRNA
Rfam family: Bacterial small subunit ribosomal RNA
Source: RNAcentral